Molecule: ribosomal RNA, 371 nt
Filed under: uncultured organism
Description: bacterial SSU rRNA
Rfam family: Bacterial small subunit ribosomal RNA
Source: RNAcentral
CAGAGGCCUCGAGCGUUAGGCGGAAUCACUGGGCUUAAAGCGUGUGUAGGUGGAUGCCUAAGUGCCUUGUGAAAUCCCACGGCUUAACCGUGGAAUUGCUGGGCAUACUGGGUGUCUUGAGCCACUCAGGGGCUACCGGAACAAAUGGUGGAGCGGUGAAAUGCGUAGAUAUCAUUUGGAACGCCAAUGGUGAAAACAGGUAGCUGGGGGUGUGCUGACACUGAGACACGAAAGCCAGGGGAGCAAACGGGAUUAGAUACCCCGGUAGUCCUGGCCCUAAACGAUGUCCACUAGAUCGUGGCGGUUCUAACGCCGUCAUGGUCGAAGCAAAAGUGCUAAGUGGACCGCCUGGGAGUACGGUCGCAAGGCUA